Molecule: ribosomal RNA, 288 nt
Filed under: uncultured bacterium
Lineage: Bacteria
Description: partial 16S ribosomal RNA
Rfam family: Bacterial small subunit ribosomal RNA
Source: RNAcentral
GAUGAACGCUAGCGGCAGGCCUAAUACAUGCAAGUCGAACGGUAACAUGAGUAGCAAUACUUGAUGACGAGUGGCGCACGGGUGCGUAACGCGUAUGCAAUCUACCUUUAACUGGUGAAUAGCCCGAAGAAAUUCGGAUUAAUACACCAUAGUAUAAUUGAGUGGCAUCACUUAAUUAUUAAACUACCGGUGGUUAAAGAUGAGCAUGCGUGACAUUAGCUAGUUGGUGAGGUAAUGGCUCACCAAGGCUACGAUGUCUAGGGGGAUCUGAGAGGGACUUUAAACCCC